Molecule: ribosomal RNA, 497 nt
Filed under: uncultured bacterium
Lineage: Bacteria
Description: partial 16S ribosomal RNA
Rfam family: Bacterial small subunit ribosomal RNA
Source: RNAcentral
GACGAACGCCGGCGGCGUGCCUAAUACAUGCAAGUAGAACGCUGAAGAGAGGAGCUUGCUCUUCUUGGAUGAGUUGCGAACGGGUGAGUAACGCGUAGGUAACCUGCCUUGUAGCGGGGGAUAACUAUUGGAAACGAUAGCUAAUACCGCAUAACAAUGGAUGACACAUGUCUUUUAUUUUAAAGGGGCAAUUUCUCCACUACAAGAUGGACCUGCGUUGUAUUAGCUAGUAGGUUAGGUAAUGGCUCACCUAGGCGACGAUACAUAGCCGACCUGAGAGGGUGAUCGGCCAAAAUGGGACUGAGAAAAGGCCCAGAAGCCUAAGGGAGGCAGCAGGAGGGAAACGUCGGCAAAGGGGGCAAACCAGAACGAGCAACGCCGGGGGAGUGAAGAAGGUUUUCGGAUCGUAAAGCUCUGUUGUAAGUCAAGAAAGGGUGUGAGAGUGGAAAGUUCACACUGUGACGGUAGCUUACCAGAAAGAGACGGCUAACUACGUG